UACGUAGGGUGCGAGCGUUAAUCGGAAUUACUGGGCGUAAAGCGUGUGCAGGCGGUGAGCUGUGUCCGAUGUGAAAGCCCCGGGCUUAACCUGGGAAUGGCAUUGGAAACUGGCUCGCUGGAGUGUGGCAGAGGGGGGUGGAAUUCUGCGUGUAGCAGUGAAAUGCGUAGAGAUGCGGAGGAACACCGAUGGCGAAGGCAGCCCCCUGGGCUAACACUGACGCUCAGGCACGAAAGCGUGGGGAGCAAACAGGAUUAGAUACCCUGGUAGUCCACGCCCUAAACCAUGUCAACUGGGUGUUCGGGAAGCGAUUCCUGAGUACCGUAGCUAACGCGUGAAGUUGACCGCCUGGGGAGUACGGCCGCAAGGUUAAA
RNAcentral lists this ribosomal RNA (374 nucleotides) under uncultured bacterium. RNAcentral describes it as "bacterial SSU rRNA". It matches the Rfam family "Bacterial small subunit ribosomal RNA", at positions 524 to 898 of the family's 1533-position model. The record is from RNAcentral.